UACGGGGGGGGCAAGCGUUGUUCGGAAUUACUGGGCGUAAAGGGCUCGUAGGCUGCCCACUCAGUCGGAUGUGAAAUCCCCAGGCUCAACCUGGGAACGGCAUCCGAUACUGGCGGGCUUGAAUCCGGGAGAGGGAUGCAGAAUUCCAGGUGUAGCGGUGAAAUGCGUAGAUAUCUGGAGGAAUACCGGUGGCGAAGGCGGCAUCCUGGACCGGCAUUGACGCUGAGGAGCGAAAGCUAGGGGAGCAAACGGG
Molecule: ribosomal RNA, 253 nt
Filed under: uncultured bacterium
Lineage: Bacteria
Description: partial 16S ribosomal RNA
Rfam family: Bacterial small subunit ribosomal RNA
Source: RNAcentral